ACGGCUAACGUUUCGUGACACACAAAACACAGUAUUUUGUCUUUGGAAACAGUACAUAAGUAUUUAUUCGUCCAUUCAGUAUUGAAAACUCUGUGCUCUUAUUCUAUUUUUCUCUUUUUCUUUUCACUCAUGGUAGCCAUUAUGAAGCUCAAGAUUUUGUUGAAUAAAUUCACAAACAAAGGAAACACUCACAGUCACACACAAAGAGAAGAGAUAUCUCAUGGCGCGUGGCACACUAGCAAGGCACUGACAGUGUGUGGAAGCCUGUAGAGGGUGUGAAAGUUACUAGUGACCCCCCCUAAAACAGCUAGCAGCCUUUAUGUCAACCAGUGGCCAUUAGGGGGAAGCAGAUACCUCACUACACAGUAGCCUGAACUUUUGAACUGUCUUCUCUCCUCUGCCUCGAGGCAGAGGGAACUAGCCUCAAGUCAGUUUUCACUGACCAGAUAGCAACAGCACGGGUCUGGCAACCACCAAUCAAGUGUUAACACGGCAAGGGCCUUUGUCUGAAUGUGUAUAAAGGAUCUGUAAAAUGUGUGUAAGACAGAGUUUUUGUACUAAGGUGCAAAGCUCUCCUUUCUUCUGCAGAAUAAAGCAACCUUUUCCUUAUCCCUGUCUGGCUGUUAUUGGCUCUCAACUAGGCAGACUCGAUAUUUCAGUGACAGUUUCUGGCGACCCAGAUGGGACUCUCCUAGCUCGGACAUUGGACUCCGGACGGCUGCGGCGAACUGGGAACGGCGCCAACAGGGUGUUUCGCCCCUUUUCUCUGAUUCACCACGGCCCCUGGGGUUCGUGUUCCAAUAAGAUAAAAGAAGUGCUACCCAAAGACCCUAGCAGCCCUGCCAUUCAUUGAAACAAGGAGACUGAGUCUAUGUAAAGAUCCACCAACGAAAGACUGCUUUGGCUCCAUGCUGGAAAGGCCCUUUCCAAGUCCUGUUAACCACCAACACCGCUGUGAAGUGCCAAGGACUGCCUACCUGGACCCAUGCUUCUCAUUGUAAAAAGACCCCUCCACCUCGGGAGGACUCUCCGACUGAUAAGCCUAUUUCUCCUUCUAGCUCUGCUGUGCCUUCUGGACAGCAGGAAAAAGGAAAAAAGACAGGCUGAAGUGCUAGUAACCUCUCCCCUGUAUGAUGCUGAACCAUGACUGUUUCAGGAAAAGAGAAGAAGGAGCACUUGCGCCAUUGAAACCACCAAAGUCCAGGGAUUCCUGCCUACAAGAGACAUUAAGAAGAAACAAAGAAUUAUACACUGGCAGGAAGAAACUUGUGGGACCCAUGCUUGGGAAUGUGGUAUAGUACUACACCAAAGAGAAAUGUAUUAGGAUAUCAGUGGACUGUGAUUAACACUACACUAGGGACUGUUAAAUUUUCAUUAUCCUUAUCCAGUUUCCAGAUCACCUUUACAUACCCAAAUUGCUCACAGGGGGCUGCCAUUAGAUUAGCACAACAGAGGGCUUGGGUUAUUUCCUCUAGAAAGAAAAGUGACUUGACCGGAUCCCUAUAGGAUGGGGCCAAUAGUGCAGCAGCAGUUUGGAAUAUUUUUAAGAACCAAGAACAUGAUGAAAAAUUGGGGCAAUUAGAAAAGGCCACUAGCCUUAUUUCUGGGGCACAGCUAACCCAGGUACAGGCUGGAAUUGGUGAGUUACAUGUUAUCUCUAACUUAGUUCUAUGACCCAGAAGUUGCUGACAGAAAUGGUAUUGAAUAUCACAAAGGCUGGGAAGGGAUUGCAGUGGGAACUAGCAUGUUCAGGCUUGGCCCACUGCCCUUACAGACACAUCAGGAGUACUAUCUGAUCUGUGGCCAUAGAGACAUACUUGGAGACUUUCUGGGUGGAAGUGCGAACGUUCUCAAUGCUCCUUCCAAGCAUAUGGACCGAUUAGGGGUGUGUGGGCUCCCACAUACCGAAUCCUGCCAGGUCCAUGGAGAGGAUGCAUGUGGAAUUGGAUAAUUCACAGAGACAUCUGGAAAAUUAAACUACCGCCGAUGCCCUGGUGGACUUGGCAACCGCACAGAGAAAACUAAGGCAAAUGGUUCUCCAGAACCACUUGGCUCUAGAUAUCUUUCCCUUCAGCUUGAUCGCAAAUUGCGCAACGGGCCUGACAAUUUGGGUUUGUCAGGCCCGAAAGGGGGACUGUGAAAGUUACUAGUGACCCCCCUUAUCAGCUAGCAGCCUUUAUGUCAACCAGUGGCCAUUAGGGGGAAGCAGAUACCUCACUACACAGUAGCCUGAACUUUUGAACUGUCUUCUCUCCUCUGCCUUGAGGAAGAGGGAACUAGUCCCAAGCCAGUUUUCACUGACCAGAUAGCAAAAGCAUGGAUCUAGCAACCACCAAUCAAGUGUUAACACGGCAAGAGCCUUUGUCUGAAAGUGUAUAAAGGAUCUGUAAAAUGUGUGUAAGACAGAGUUUUUGUACUAAGGUGCAAAGCUCUCCUUUCUUCUGCAGAAUAAAGCAACCUUUUCCUUA
Malaclemys terrapin pileata is the source of this 2468-nucleotide long non-coding RNA. RefSeq lists it as uncharacterized. The record is from RefSeq and is a predicted model, not a curated record. NCBI's taxonomy places the organism in Eukaryota, Metazoa, Chordata, Testudines, Emydidae. The transcript is spliced from 2 exons.